RNAcentral lists this long non-coding RNA (4139 nucleotides) under Homo sapiens (human). Its description in RNAcentral is "HSALNT0021019". Lineage: Eukaryota; Metazoa; Chordata; Mammalia; Primates; Hominidae. The record is from RNAcentral.
GCAGUUAGUUUUGGGGCUGGAAAUUUGAGCAGAGAGAAUGGCAGAGUCUUUUCAGGAGCCAGAAAUGCAUGUGAGGACCAAGAACUUCUAACAGUAGAGGAACUCUGGCUGGGGUAGUUGAGGGGGAGGAGAAAUGAGGAUCAAGGGGGCAUACAGUGCAUGAAAACAAAAGGUGAGGCCCAAGAUCAGCCAAAGUGAGUAAACCACGGUUACCAUGGCUACUCUUCAGUGGAGACGGAAGGAAGCCCUGUAUCCUCCCCUUCCAACCACACUACGCUGUUCCACUCCCCAUCUCCAUCUCCUGUACCCCAGACACACUCAGGCAAGCACAGCACCACCCUGGAUGACUCUGCGGAAUGCCUCUCAGAGACACGGAACUAGAAACCUAGGGGAAGAGGGACAUCAAGGCUUUUGCCUCACAAGCUGACUCUGGAACAAAGAGCCAGGCUGAGGGGCUGGAAGAAGAAACUUCCAGCAGAGCCACCCAGAUAUGCUUCCCCCACCCUCUAGACCUUCCACACCAACCAGUGUCCAGUCAGUCCACAGAGCAUCCUCCUGGGCUGUGGUGACUGAAGUUGAAGGGAAGAAAAUAUAAUAAUAAUUUUGGGCAGGUCGUCUUUCUUUACUGUAUUGGAUGGAUAUAGAAUCAAUAAAUCUAUAGGUUUAUCCCAUUUUUCUGAACAAAUUUAGAGGUCAAAGAUGAACCCUCAAGGGGACAGAAUAUGACCAGCAGGACUAUUGAUAUCGUCUGCCCUAGGCACUCCUCCUUACCCUCCUCUCCCCUAUAUUUUGGGGGCAGUCAUAUUCCUCAGCAGUCAGUUGCUCUGCCUCCAGUCCUAACUGGCUUCUGAAAAACAGUUCUGGUCCAUUCAUUCCCUGUCUCGAGACUUCCGGAGCUUCCUGACCUGUGAAUGAAAUCCACAGGCCCAUCACAAGAUGGCUGCGCUCUCCAGUCCCCGGCACCCCAGGCUGCUCUGAACAUGUGAGAGCUCCUCCCUCAAGGCCUGAAUUUUCGCAGGUCUUCAUCACACUCAGCCCGCCAUCAUUUUUUCAGAUUCAGUUCCAAUAUGUCACUCUGUCUGUAGAGCCUUCCCUGAAUCUCACAGACAAAUGCGGCAGUUCCCUUUGUGGGGGAUAUUCAUCAUGUUUUUCCUCAUUGGCCUAUGUUUUUGCCUCUUCUUGUAGAUGUCCAUCUAGGCUGGGAGCUCCUAGGGGGUAAACGCAGCCUCUCACUCACCUGGCACAGAGUCGAUGCUCAUGGAAUGAUACGUGAUGGGGAGAGUGAGUAAGUGAAUGAAUGAAUGAAUGCUAUUCUGGAAGGAAGAGGGAGAGAGGGAGCAGGGAAAGGUCAGAAGGGGGCCCAGAGUCUUCAGCACACAAUGUGGGUGUAUCACUGUGGCCAGGAACAAUUCGCUUCUCUGCCUGCAUUACUUUUUGGGAAAUGGGAGAGCUGAGGCUCAGUGUAGGCAAACUGGGUCCAGUCAGCAGGGAAGCCAUGAGCUCCACGGUUUAGGGGAGGAGUCCGGUGCUUAAGGAAGCUAUCACGUGGAAGAUCUCCCUGCCCUCCUCCUAUUGGUCUGUAUUGGUUUUUCUUCUUCACCAGUGGAGGCUUUUCUUCUCCCAGGAAGAAUCCAGAAUAGUUCAGACAAGCUUCAGGUCCGCCAGAACCGGGGAAAACAACGUGUAGGGUUUGUUUUAAAGGGCUUUUAAAUGGGGUUUGGGAGAUCCAGGUAGAUUAGAAUCUUGACUCUGCACUGGCUGUGCAAGACAGAAAUUCACCUUUCAAAACUUCUGUUCCCCAGUCUAUGCGGUAAGAAGUUUAGAUUAGCUGAUUUCUAGGGAGAUUUUGGGCAGGCAUGAUUCAGUUCCAUGAAGGGCUGUGGGACAGGACUGCACUAAGAGGUCCUAUAGAUUGGAUUCUUCAGUUCCCUCCCUUCCGCUGGAGAAUAGAGGAAUCUGCCUUCGCUGCACACUAGAUUUACCUGGAGAACAAAUGGAAAGCAGGCCAGGAUCCUGGGUGAAAUGUGGCACAUUUGAGGAGACUUCAACUUCCCUUGCCCUCCAGUGUGGUCUUUUCCCCACCCCCAGACAUGAAAGGGAAGCAGGUCACAAAGCCUUUCGGAUUAUAAAAGAAACACUUGCUUCUCACAAGGGGAGCAGCAGACUUACUCUGUACUAAAUGCCAGGAUAAGCCUCUGGCUGGGCCUCGACUGUGACCCUCCGGCCUCUUUCUACAGCUCUGCCUGGAUGGACUGGCCUAUCUCUGCUGGAUUCCCGAAGUGCAUUGUGUAGAGACAGCAACUCAGGUCAGGCUAAAAGCUCAAGCAAGCAAGCGCGCACACACACGCGCGCACACACACACACACACACACAAACACUCAGCUUCCUUAGGACAAGAUAAAAUCUUAGCAUUCCCCUCUCCCCGAUUAGGUAGGUCUCUGGGAGGACUAAGGCUUCAGGUGCAAGGCUCAGAUAACCUGCAGUGUCUCUCCAACUCUGGGAUGACAAAGACCUCACUUCCCUUUUCUGGUGUUCACACAACAAUGAGAAAGUACGGGUAGCCUGCAGAAAGACCUCUCCAUUCAUGGUCCCCCAGGGGUGUGGGUUCUGAGAGGUGGGACCAGCUGCCAGGCCCUUUCUCCAUUGGUUGAGUUCAGCAGGUAACCUGAAGCUUUGCUGAGAGGUGCAUAAAUAAAGAGUGAAACUAGUACCACCUCCUUGAAAUGGGCUGAGUCCCUCUUGCUCACCCUUGACUUGGAAAAACCAGUUUCUCUUUUAUUGUCUGUUACUAAUCUCUAUUCUAAAAAUUCAGCUCAAUUCUCAACCAUACUCCAAACUCUCUCUUUUCCAGCUACCUUUACUCCCUCUCCUUCAAUUCCACUUUCCUCUGCUUACUUUUUUUUUUUUUCUGACAGGGUCUCACUUUGUCGCCCGGGCAGGAGUGCAGUGGCUCAAUCUUGGGCUCACUGCAGCCUCAACCUCCCAGAGGCGGGGUUUCACCAUGUUGCCCAGACUGGUCUUGAACUCCUGAGCUUAAGCAAUCCACCUGCCUCGGCCUCCCAAAGUGUUGGGAUCACAGGCGUGAGCCACCGCAUCCGGCCUCAUGUUCUUUUUCAUUAAAGAGAGAAAUCAACUAUUCAGGACCGGCCCCCACCUUUCCUCAGGAGUCAUUUCUGUUCCGCACAGGCCUGCUGAACUGGGUGCUUUAUAUAGGACACUGUCAUCUCUCAAGUACCCAUCUUGGAGGGUACGGACCCCACAUGAGGGUGAGGCUCUCUGCACACUCCAGAAAAGGACCAACCACACCGAGCUCAGUUAUGGCACACACAGUGGGACCUAGACAAAGGGAGAGGGUGACCGACAUCCCAACUAGGGUCCCCAGGCAGGUGGCUGGGACACUAUUUGCAAUCAGCAAGGAACCCUGCUGCCCUUAGACUCCCCACAGAGCAAGCAGAACUUGCAGAAUGGGGUAAAAACACUCUAUUAAAGAUUUUUUAAACCUAUUUAUAUUGUAAUAAAGUAAAUGUAAAUAAAAUUUAAGUGAAGGCAGAUUGCAGAUAUUUCCGAUGCUAUACAAGAUAUAUCUCAUAGUAUGGGUGUAGAUUCUGCAAAGGUUAAUGCAGUUAAACAUAUUUGACACAUAAAAAUGUCAGAUCCAACAUUAAUCAUUCACCAAUUGUAAUUGCCUUUCUAUGGGUCUCUUCUCCCCAAGACAUAGCUUAAAACACCAGGCUCGGUAGAAAUCUGGGAGGAAAAAAGCAAAUAAUACCUCUCAGCUGUCAGGGUCUAUGAUACGCUUUGAUAGAUUUAGCACUGAUUUCAUUCUCUUUACAAUUCAGUGUGAUUGGGUGUGCGUGUGUGUGUGUGUGUGUGUGUGUGUGUGUGUGUGUGUUACUCCAUGUUUCUCCUUUUUAAGGAAGGAGAAGGUGUGGAACAAGAGAAAGUUCCUAAGUCUGAAGGAAGUCCAACCCAGUUAUGAAGGGAAUGCCAUCCACAAGCCUUUUUUAUAAUUGGCCCCUGCCUCAGGUAAAGGGGUCUCCUUUAAGGAGCCAGUCUGGCUAAAUUGGCAGAUUCUGAACAAAGCCUGGCCCUGACAAGUCUUCAGAAAAACCGGUUUUCACCUCCAGAAUGUGCCCCAG